RNAcentral lists this long non-coding RNA (594 nucleotides) under Nicotiana benthamiana. RNAcentral's name for it is "long non-coding RNA (NBEN_LNC014376)". Lineage: Eukaryota; Viridiplantae; Streptophyta; Magnoliopsida; Solanales; Solanaceae. The record is from RNAcentral.
GCUUCUUCGAUUUCCAACUGAUCAAGCAACCACCCAAAAGCACACAAAAUCCAGUAACAGAUCGUCUAGUAUCAGGGCAUGCAGCCCAGUCACUAUAAGAAUAGCCAGUAACAGAGAAAUCAGCAUGAGCAUAAUAAAAUAAACCCAAGGAAGGAGUGCCCAUAAGGUAUCUCAGAACAUGCAGGGCAGCAGUCAUAUGGGGAAGUCUGGGGCAUUUGAGGAAUUGACUCAGAUGUUGGACUGCAAACCAUAUGUCAGGCUUAGUAUGAGUCAGGAACAGCAUCUUACCAACUAGACUCCUGUACUGGUCAGGAGAUGAUAAAAGGUCACCAUAAUCAGCAUGAAGUUUGACAUUAAUGUCCAAAGGAGACACAACAGAGGAGACAUUUGUACAAUCAAACUGAUGCAGUAGACUAGACUCCUGUACUGGUCAGGAGAGGAUAAAAGGUCACCAGUAUCACCAUGAAGUUUGACAUUAAUGUCUAAAGGAGAAACAACAAAGGAGACAUUUGCACAAUCAAACUGAUGCACUAAAUCAGAAAUAUACUUAUGCUGAUUAAGGAUCAUUCCACCAGGAACAACUGACAUUUCAAG